RNAcentral lists this ribosomal RNA (503 nucleotides) under uncultured bacterium. Its description in RNAcentral is "partial 16S ribosomal RNA". It matches the Rfam family "Bacterial small subunit ribosomal RNA", at positions 28 to 523 of the family's 1533-position model. The record is from RNAcentral.
GAUGAACGCUAGCGGCAGGCCUAACACAUGCAAGUCGAGCGGGGUGAUGGUGCUUGCACUAUCACUUAGCGGCGGACGGGUGAGUAAUGCUUAGGAAUCUGCCUAUUAGUGGGGUACAACAUCUCGAAAGGGAUGCUAAUACCGCAUACGUCCUACGGGAGAAAGCAGGGGAUCACUUGUGACCUUGCGCUAAUAGAUGAGCCUAAGUCGGAUUAGCUAGUUGGUGGGGUAAAGGCCUACCAAGGCGACGAUCUGUAGCGGGUCUGAGAGGAUGAUCCGCCACACUGGGACUGAGACACGGCCCAGACUCCUACGGGAGGCAGCAGUGGGGAAUAUUGGACAAUGGGGGGAACCCUGAUCCAGCCAUGCCGCGUGUGUGGAGAAGGCCUUAUGGUUGUAAAGCACUUUAAGCGAGGAGGAGGCUCUUUUGGUUAAUACCCAAGAUGAGUGGACGUUACUCGCAGAAUAAGCACCGGCUAACUCUGUGCCAGCCGCCGCCGUAA